CUUUACUUUUGUAAGGCUGAUAAAGAACAAUGCGGAGUAAU
This 41-nucleotide small RNA is filed under the name Arabidopsis thaliana (thale cress). RNAcentral describes it as "ATSL092690". The record is from RNAcentral. Lineage: Eukaryota; Viridiplantae; Streptophyta; Magnoliopsida; Brassicales; Brassicaceae.